This 497-nucleotide ribosomal RNA is filed under the name uncultured bacterium. RNAcentral describes it as "partial 16S ribosomal RNA". It matches the Rfam family "Bacterial small subunit ribosomal RNA", at positions 28 to 507 of the family's 1533-position model. The record is from RNAcentral.
GAUGAACGCUGGCGGCGUGCCUAAUACAUGCAAGUCGAGCGAACAGAUAAGGAGCUUGCUCCUUUGACGUUAGCGGCGGACGGGUGAGUAACACGUGGGUAACCUAUCUAUAAGACUGGAAUAACUCCGGGAAACCGGGGCUAAUGCCGGAUAACAUGUUGAACCGCAUGGUUCUACAGUGAAAGGCGGCCUUGCUGUCACUUAUAGAUGGACCCGCGCCGUAUUAGCUAGUUGGUGAGGUAACGGCUCACCAAGGCAACGAUACGUAGCCGACCUGAGAGGGUGAUCGGCCACACUGGAACUGAGACACGGUCCAGACUCCUACGGGAGGCAGCAGUAGGGAAUCUUCCGCAAUGGGCGAAAGCCUGACGGAGCAACGCCGCGUGAGUGAUGAAGGUCUUCGGAUCGUAAAACUCUGUUAUUAGGGAAGAACAAAUGCGUAAGUAACUGUGCGCGUCUUGACGGUACCUAAUCAGAAAGCCACGGCUAACUACGUG